UGAACCGGGUUGCGGACAGUGUCUGGUGGGUAGUUUGACUGGGGCGGUCUCCUCCUAAAGAGUAACGGAGGAGCACGAAGGUUGGCUAAUCCUGGUCGGACAUCAGGAGGUUAGUGCAAUGGCAUAAGCCAGCUUGACUGCGAGCGUGACGGCGCGAGCAGGUGCGAAAGCAGGUCAUAGUGAUCCGGUGGUUCUGAAUGGAAGGGCCAUCGCUCAACGGAUAAAAGGUACUCCGGGGAUAACAGGCUGAUACCGCCCAAGAGUUCAUAUCGACGGCGGUGUUUGGCACCUCGAUGUCGGCUCAUCACAUCCUGGGGCUGAAGUAGGUCCCAAGGGUAUGGCUGUUCGCCAUUUAAAGUGGUACGCGAGCUGGGUUUAGAACGUCGUGAGACAGUUCGGUCCCUAUCUGCCGUGGGCGCUGGAGAAUUGAGGGGGGCUGCUCCUAGUACGAGAGGACCGGAGUGGACGCAUCACUGGUGUUCGGGUUGUCAUGCCAAUGGCAUUGCCCGGUAGCUAAAUGCGGAAGAGAUAAGUGCUGAAAGCAUCUAAGCACGAAACUUGCCCCGAGAUGAGUUCUCCCUGACUCUUUAAGAGUCCUGAAGGAACGUUGAAGACGACGACGUUGAUAGGUCGGGUGUGUAAGUGUAGCGAUACAUUGAGCUAACCGAUACUAAUGAACCGUGAGGCUUAACCUU
RNAcentral lists this ribosomal RNA (695 nucleotides) under Salmonella enterica. Its description in RNAcentral is "partial 23S ribosomal RNA". It matches the Rfam family "Bacterial large subunit ribosomal RNA", at positions 2236 to 2925 of the family's 2925-position model. Lineage: Bacteria; Pseudomonadati; Pseudomonadota; Gammaproteobacteria; Enterobacterales; Enterobacteriaceae. The record is from RNAcentral.